CCCUGAUGGUUCAAAACGUAAAGAAUCUGCCUGCAAUGCAGGAGAUCUAGGUUCAAUCCCUGGGUCAGGAA
This 71-nucleotide transfer RNA is filed under the name Ovis aries (sheep). It matches the Rfam family "tRNA". Rfam says of the family: Transfer RNA (tRNA) molecules are approximately 80 nucleotides in length. Their secondary structure includes four short double-helical elements and three loops (D, anti-codon, and T loops). Further hydrogen bonds mediate the characteristic L-shaped molecular structure. tRNAs have two regions of fundamental functional importance: the anti-codon, which is responsible for specific mRNA codon recognition, and the 3' end, to which the tRNAs corresponding amino acid is attached (by aminoacyl-tRNA synthetases). tRNAs cope with the degeneracy of the genetic code in two manners: having more than one tRNA (with a specific anti-codon) for a particular amino acid; and 'wobble' base-pairing, i.e. permitting non-standard base-pairing at the 3rd anti-codon position. The record is from Rfam by way of RNAcentral. Lineage: Eukaryota; Metazoa; Chordata; Mammalia; Artiodactyla; Bovidae.